RNAcentral lists this small RNA (80 nucleotides) under Salmonella enterica subsp. enterica serovar Thompson. RNAcentral's name for it is "partial RtT sRNA". It matches the Rfam family "RtT RNA", at positions 1 to 76 of the family's 130-position model. Rfam says of the family: This family represents a bacterial cis-regulatory element known as RtT RNA. The record is from RNAcentral. Lineage: Bacteria; Pseudomonadati; Pseudomonadota; Gammaproteobacteria; Enterobacterales; Enterobacteriaceae.
UGUAUCUGAAGUCUGACGAGGAUGAGAACCUCCGGGGGCAAGAGGUUCGACUCGAGCGAAGCGAGAGAACGUUGCGCCAG